GGCGUCCGAGUUGUAAUUUGUAGAGGAUGCUAUUGAGUUGUCACCGGUCUAAGUUCCUUGGAACAGGACGUCAUAGAGGGUGAGAAUCCCGUAUGUGACCGGCCAGACGCUCUCUGUAUAGCUCCUUCGACGAGUCGGGUUGUUUGGGAAUGCAGCCCUAAAUGGGAGGUAAAUUUCUUCUAAAGCUAAAUACCGGCCAGAGACCGAUAGCGCACAAGUAGAGUGAUCGAAAGAUGAAAAGCACUUUGGAAAGAGAGUUAAAAAGCACGUGAAAUUGUUGAAAGGGAAGCGCUUGCAAUCAGUCUCGACGGCGGCUGUUCGGCCUCUCUUCUGAGUGGUUUAUUCAGCCGCCGCCGGGCCAGCAUCAGUUUCGGCGGUCGGAUAAAGGCGCGGGGAAUGUAGCUCCCCUCGGGGAGUGUUAUAGCCCCGCGUGCAAUACGGCCCGCCGGGACUGAGGUCCGCGCUUCGGCUAGGAUGCUGGCGAAAUGGUUGUAAGCGGCCCGUCUUGAAACACGGACCAAGGAGUCUAACAUCUAUGCGAGUGUUUGGGUGUCAAACCCGUGCGCGUAAUGAAAGUGAACGGAGGUGGGAACCGCAAGGUGCACCAUCGACCGAUCCUGAUGUCUUCGGAUGGAUUUGAGUAAGAGCAUAGCUGUUGGGACCCGAAAGAUGGUGAACUAUGCCUGAAUAGGGUGAAGCCAGAGGAAACUCUGGUGGAGGCUCGCAGCGGUUCUGACG
This 738-nucleotide ribosomal RNA is filed under the name Elsinoe freyliniae. Its description in RNAcentral is "eukaryotic LSU rRNA". It matches the Rfam family "Eukaryotic large subunit ribosomal RNA", at positions 133 to 891 of the family's 3401-position model. Lineage: Eukaryota; Fungi; Ascomycota; Dothideomycetes; Myriangiales; Elsinoaceae. The record is from RNAcentral.